UUUGUUUGCUAAUAUUAGGAUUGUUGUUUUUUGAAAAUUACUUAUUUAAAGAUUUUGAUAAUCGUUUUGGUAUUGUUAAAUUGAUUUUUUGUUUUUCAUUUGUUUUGUGUGUAUCUCUUUUGUCUAUUUUGAUAUUUCAAAUGCUAGGUGUGAUAAAUCCGAGUUUGCAGAUUUUUAUUUGGUAUAUUGAUAUAUUAUUUUUAAUAUUAUUAGUUUAUUUGAUUAUUCCAGUCAGUUUAAUAUAUACUUAUGUGACAUAUGAAGAUGAAAAUAUAUCCAACAGUUUGUUAAAAUUUAAAUAUUUUCAUUCAACAUUGAAAAAAGUAAAACAUAAAACAAUAAAUUUGUCUGAUGAACAAAAGUCUAAUUUGAUGAAACGUUUAUUUUAUGCUAGUGAAGAUUUAAUUGUAAAAAUGAAAAAUUAUAGUAAAAAAAUAAAAAAAAAAAAAAAAAUAAAAAUAGCGAAAUUUGUUAUAGGUUGUAUAAUUUUUUUACCUUUAUUAUGGUUUUGUUUUUAUGAAAUUUCAUUGCUGAUUUUUAAAAUACAUGGUGAUAUAAAUGAAGAAUUACAAAUUUAUAAUAUGGAUAAUAUAUUAAAAACGGUUAACAGUGAAACAUAUAGAGAGUCUGUUGAAGAUAGUGAUAAAUAUAUUAAUAAAAAUAGUGAUUUGUUUUUUAUUUUAAAAUUUAUUAAACAUUUAUUUAUUAAUAUAUAUGUUACUGGUAUGACGAUAGUUAGUUCAUUAUCUGCAUUUUCAAGUUUAUACAAUCCUUAUACUAACAUGAAUAAUUUUUUUUUUCAUGUAACUGUUAAAAAAGUAAAAAUUAUAGAAAAAAAAAUCACAUUUAUAACAAAGGAGUUAGCUUUAAAAAAAAAACUGCUAUUGUUAUGUGACCAUCCAUACUUAAUGAAUAAAUAUACUCAAAAUAAGAGGGUCAUACCGACUUUUAAUAAAGUAGACAUUUCUAGUAUAUAUUUAAAUCAUAGUGUUAGUAACCAUACCAGUUUUGGUGAUUAUAAUUAUUGCCUUAAUAAUAAUAUAAGUAACAUUACCUCAAGUACUGAUAUUAAAAAUAAUAAUGAAUUUGUAAAAAAUAAAUUCCAUUCGAAUGCUACAUUAUAUGAAGAUGACUCAAUUUACGAGUUAGACGAUUAUACAACAGAAACAGCAACUACAACUUCUUGUUAUAACGACUCUAGUACAUAUAAAAUAAAUUACAAUAACACGAUUUAUAACACUAAUUAUGCAUAUGAUAAAGACAAAACAGAAGGAAAAACAAACAAAACUUAUAACAGAUUAAAAGAAUUAAACGUGUCAAAUAACAAGUGUGACACAUAUCCGUGCAUGAAAAAUUGUGAUAAUAAUAAUACAUACAAAGAUGAACAUAAAAAUGGUAAAGUAAAAAAUGAUAUAUAUCAUCCAAAAGAUGAAAUAGAAUACAUAUGUUCCAAGUCAUAUAAAAAAUGCAAUUUAUACUUAGCAAAUCAAAAAUCAAUUUAUGAUGAUAUAUGUAGGACUGUGUUGAUGAAGCAACAGGGAGUAGGAGCAGGAGUAGGUGCAAAUAAAGCAGAAGAAGAAGAAAAAAAAAAAAAAAAAAAUGACUAAUAUAUUUCAUACAAAUAAAAAAAAGCAUAGAGAAGAGGAAGAGGAGGAG
This 1656-nucleotide long non-coding RNA is filed under the name Piliocolobus tephrosceles (Ugandan red Colobus). Its description in RNAcentral is "lncRNA (ENSPTEG00000001196.1)". Lineage: Eukaryota; Metazoa; Chordata; Mammalia; Primates; Cercopithecidae. The record is from RNAcentral.